RNAcentral lists this ribosomal RNA (516 nucleotides) under uncultured bacterium. RNAcentral describes it as "bacterial SSU rRNA". It matches the Rfam family "Bacterial small subunit ribosomal RNA", at positions 8 to 521 of the family's 1533-position model. The record is from RNAcentral.
AGAGUUUGAUCCUGGCUCAGAUUGAACGCUGGCGGUAUGCUUUACACAUGCAAGUCGAACGGCAGCACGGGGCAACCUGGUGGCGAGUGGCGAACGGGUGAGUAACAUAUCGGAACAUAUCCGGAAGUGGGGGAUAACGUAGCGAAAGUUACGCUAAUACCGCAUAUGCCCUGAGGGGGAAAGGGGGGGAUCGCAAGACCUCUCGCUUUCGGAGUGGCCGAUAUCGGAUUAGCUAGAUGGUGAGGUAAUGGCUCACCAUGGCGACGAUCCGUAGCGGGUCUGAGAGGACGACCCGCCACACUGGAACUGAGACACGGUCCAGACUCCUACGGGAGGCAGCAGUGGGGAAUUUUGGACAAUGGGCGCAAGCCUGAUCCAGCCAUACCGCGUGAGUGAAGAAGGCCUUCGGGUUGUAAAGCUCUUUCAGCCGGGAAGAAAUCGCACUUUUUAAUACGGAGUGUGGAUGACGGUACCGGAAGAAGAAGCACCGGCUAACUACGUGCCAGCCGCCGCGGU